Molecule: long non-coding RNA, 512 nt
Organism: Osmerus eperlanus (European smelt)
Lineage: Eukaryota; Metazoa; Chordata; Actinopteri; Osmeriformes; Osmeridae
Exons: 4
Source: RefSeq, a predicted model, not a curated record
AUAAGACACUCAAAAAAAUACUCAAACCAUUGCCAACUCAUUGUAAGGCAUACCUAAGUUGUUCUGAUCGUGGGGGGAAACAUAUUUGUCAAAACAACAAAUGUUGUCAUACUAAUGCUUUGUAUACCCCAUUCAGCUGUACCAUCUUGGGCAAAGACCAUUCAAGACACAUUACAGGUUAUGCUCCGGAAGAUGGAGACAUUGGAGGAGAACCAGCGAGAGGCUCUCCUAUUCAGGCGACUACAGGGCAGACACACUGAAGAGGUGCCAGUGAUGGACCUACAGGUGGCCCAAACACAGGCUGAACUCCAAGACCUUGAGGAGCGCCUUAAGGUGCUGGAGUUCAGAAAGAGAGUGACGCUGUGAUGAAGUGGAAGACGGGACUGGGAGAGAAGGCUGUGGAGCUCCUCAUAGCGGAGACACUCACGCCCCGGCAGCCCAUUCAAAACAAGCCAGGGCCAACAGACAGGACCUGUAGCGGGGACUGGCAGAAGAUUUUAAUUCACUGUUUG